CGCCUCUUGCUAACAAAGGAAGUACUAGAGGUCCCGCCUGCCCUGUGACCACAAAGUUUAACGGCCGCGGUAUCCUGACCGUGCGAAGGUAGCGUAAUCAUUUGUCUUUUAAAUAGAGACCUGUAUGAAUGGCAUAACGAGGGUUUAACUGUCUCCUUCCCCCAGUCAAUGAAAUUGAUCUGCCCGUGCAGAAGCGGACAUAAAUACAUAAGACGAGAAGACCCUAUGGAGCUUUAGACAAAAGAUCAAACAUGUAAAGAAACCAAAACAACCAAAAGGAACACGAAGGCCACAAAACCCAACGUAAACUGAUCUAAAUGUCUUCGGUUGGGGCGACCAUGGGGGAAAGAAAAGCCCCCACGAGGAACAGGGACAACCCCUAAACUAAGAGGGACACCUCUAAGCAACAGAA
This 412-nucleotide ribosomal RNA is filed under the name Anguilla rostrata (American eel). RNAcentral describes it as "partial large subunit ribosomal RNA". It matches the Rfam family "Bacterial large subunit ribosomal RNA", at positions 1816 to 2404 of the family's 2925-position model. Lineage: Eukaryota; Metazoa; Chordata; Actinopteri; Anguilliformes; Anguillidae. The record is from RNAcentral.